Molecule: ribosomal RNA, 505 nt
Filed under: uncultured bacterium
Lineage: Bacteria
Description: partial 16S ribosomal RNA
Rfam family: Bacterial small subunit ribosomal RNA
Source: RNAcentral
GACGAACGCUGGCGGCGUGCCUAAUACAUGCAAGUAGAACGCACAGUUUAUACCGUAGCUUGCUACACCAUAGACUGUGAGUUGCGAACGGGUGAGUAACGCGUAGGUAACCUGCCUGGUAGCGGGGGAUAACUAUUGGAAACGAUAGCUAAUACCGCAUAAUAUUAAUUAUUGCAUGAUAAUUAAUUGAAAGGUGCAAUUGCACCACUACCAGAUGGACCUGCGUUGUAUUAGCUAGUAGGUGAGGUAACGGCUCACCUAGGCGACGAUACAUAGCCGACCGGAGAGGGUGAUCGGCCACACUGGGACUGAGACACGGCCCAGACUCCUACGGGAGGCAGCAGUAGGGAAUCUUCGGCAAUAGACGAAAGUCUGACCGAGCAACGCCGCGGGAGUGAAGAAGGUUUUCGGAUCGGAAAGCUCUGUUGUAAGAGAAGAACGGGUGUGAGAGUGGAAAGUUCACACUGUGACGGUAUCUUACCAGAAAGGGACGGCUAACUACGUG